RNAcentral lists this long non-coding RNA (1369 nucleotides) under Citrus maxima (pomelo). Its description in RNAcentral is "long non-coding RNA (CMAX_LNC002936)". Lineage: Eukaryota; Viridiplantae; Streptophyta; Magnoliopsida; Sapindales; Rutaceae. The record is from RNAcentral.
UUUGUUUAGGAAAAUGGUAUUUGAGAGCACAAAACUUUGCACAAAACACAAAGUAUAAAAGCGUCAUGUUCGUACGUGCAACAACACACGCACAUGUACACAACAAACAUACACAAAUCUCACCACAUAGCGACAACAUCUCCCUCCUUUCUCCCUCGCCACACAACAACAGUAUCUUCUCGGGUCUCUCUCUUCUGCCUCCACGCAAGGUCAGUCUCAACUCUAUUUUGUUUCACCUCACAGUAACAGUGAUAGCUCUAUCUGUCUCUCGUCUCAAGCAUCUUGUUCCCUCACUCGCUCGGUCUCACUGUCUCUGUCCCCUAAAUCCACAGUGGUGUUGCUCUCUCAUCCUGUGAUUUCAGCUGCGUUGCUCUCUCUCCCCCAAUACAAUCGGCUUGUUAAGGUUAGUUGCUUCAAUUCAUUACUCUAUGAUAAUUGUUAGAAGUAUGAACCUGAAUUAGAAUACAAGAACAAACAAUGAUGUAGGUUAUAGCCGUGAAGUAUGUGACAACUUGUCACUUGGAAUCUCCAACGUCUCAUUAUGACAUGCUUUUAGUGUCAGACGAGCAUGUUCCGUGAAGUGUGCAACUCACAUGAUUCACUUAAACAUUAUAUAAGCUCAAAACGGCAGUUAUAAUGUCGUUUAGCUUACUUAAAGGUGUCACAUGAUCAGCAAGUGUACAAUGCUAUUAGAGACGGUUAAAAGAAGCGGGAAACAAGCAGAUAGCAAGCUGGCUUCUAAACCGACUUGAGGGAGGCUUCCAGAUCUUGCCUAUAAGCUCUUAGUUGCUGUUAUUUGGUUGCAAGUAUUUUUUGUGACUCUCUAAAGAUAAAUUUGUUAUCUUGAUUUGCAGUAGUGGAAGCCAUAGCUCUGUUUCUCAAAGAGGGUGUAAGCCACCAUGGCUGAACCUCUGUAAAUUGGUCUCUGUUAUGUAUUACUCUUCAUCUCUGUUGUUUUCUAUUUGAUUAGUUUUAGAUUGGUUUGUCAUCCAUUCUUGGUCAAUUAAUCAAUGUGCAGUCAUUGUUCUUGGGGUACAAGAUCAGAUGAAUACUGAUCUUAAGUAUAACAAUAACAGUUAUAGUUUUGGUGAUAGACACACUACUGUGCUGCUCCCAAAGUUUAUGGUUAAAAAAAAUUAUUGAUUUAUUGAUCUGACCAGGUGCAAUUGCAAUUUGUAAUUCGUUCUCCAGAAAAUUAUUGAUUUAUUGUGAUUGUGGUGUUGGUGAGACCUUUGAAUUUGAUUGUGAGACUUGCAAUUGCAAUUUGUAAUCCAUUCUGAUGUGUGUUGCCGAAUCAUUUUUUGGAUGUUAUUCACUUGAAAGCAGGAUCUAGUCAUUUCGCGCACCAAUGGCAUCACUGGCAAAUUAU